GAUGAACGCUAGCGGCAGGCCUAAUACAUGCAAGUCGGACGGGAUUUGGGAGCUUGCUCCCAAUGAGAGUGGCGCACGGGUGCGUAACACGUAUGUAACCUACCUUAAUCAGGGGGAUAGCCUCUCGAAAGAGAGAUUAACACCGCAUAACAUAUUUUUAUGGCAUCGUAGAAAUAUCAAAUAUUUAUAGGAUUAAGAUGGGCAUGCGGAACAUUAGCUAGUUGGUAAGGUAACGGCUUACCAAGGCUACGAUGUUUAGGGGAUCUGAGAGGAUGACCCCCCACACUGGUACUGAGACACGGACCAGACUCCUACGGGAGGCAGCAGUAAGGAAUAUUGGUCAAUGGGCGCAAGCCUGAACCAGCCAUGCCGCGUGCAGGAAGACGGCCCUAUGGGUUGUAAACUGCUUUUGUACCGGAAUAAACCCUUUUACGUGUAAAAGGCUGAAUGUACGGUAAGAAUAAGGAUCGGCUAACUCCGUGCCAGCAGCCGCCGCCG
RNAcentral lists this ribosomal RNA (498 nucleotides) under uncultured bacterium. Its description in RNAcentral is "partial 16S ribosomal RNA". It matches the Rfam family "Bacterial small subunit ribosomal RNA", at positions 28 to 523 of the family's 1533-position model. The record is from RNAcentral.